GAUCAUGGCUCAGGAUGAACGCUGGCGGCGUGCUUAAUACAUGCAAGUCGAACGAAGCACUUCUCCCGUUGAUUGAAUUAGCUUGCUAAUGAUUGAAACAAUUGAAGUGACUGAGUGGCGGACGGGUGAGUAACGCGUGGGUAACCUGCCUUGUACAGGGGGAUAACAGUUGGAAACGACUGCUAAUACCGCAUAAGCGCACAGUACCGCAUGGUACGGUGUGAAAACUCCAGUGG
This 236-nucleotide ribosomal RNA is filed under the name uncultured bacterium. Its description in RNAcentral is "partial 16S ribosomal RNA". It matches the Rfam family "Bacterial small subunit ribosomal RNA", at positions 15 to 218 of the family's 1533-position model. The record is from RNAcentral.